GGNGNANNGGNANUGCUAUACAUGCAAGUCGAACGAGGUGCUUUUGUAGCAAUACGGGAGUAUCCUAGUGGCGAACGGGUGAGUAACGCGUUGGUGACCUGCCCCAAAGUGUGGAAUAACAGUCCGAAAGGAUUGCUAAUACCGCAUGUGGUCUCUGGGUUUAGAAACCGGUGACUAAAGGAGUAAUCCGCUUUGGGAGGGACCUGCGUCCCAUCAGCUAGUUGGUGAGGUAACGGCUCACCAAGGCUACGACGGGUAGGGGACCUGAGAGGGUGACCCCCCACAAUGGAACUGAAACACGGUCCAUACACCUACGGGUGGCGGCAGUAGGGAAUAUUGCUCAAUGGGCGAAAGCCUGAAGCAGCAACGCCGCGUGUGCGAUGAAGGUCUUCGGAUCGUAAAGCACUUUUCUGCGAGAUGAGAAAGGACAGUAUCGCAGGAAUAAGUCUCGGCUAACUACGUGCCAGCAGCCGCGGUAAAACGUAGGAGGCGAGCGUUAUCCGGAUUCACUGGGCGUAAAGCGCGUGCAGGUGGUUCGGUAAGUUGGGCGUGAAAUCUCCCGGCUCAACUGGGAGAGGUCGUCCAAUACUACCGGGCUAGAGAACAGAAGAGGAAGAUGGAAUUCCCGGUGUAGUGGUGAAAUGCGUAGAUAUCGGAAGGAACACCAGUGGCGAAGGCGAUCUUCUGGUCUGUUUCUGACACUCAGACGCGACAGCUAGGAUAGUAAACGGGAUUAGAGACCCCGGUAAUCCUAGCCGUAAACGAUGUGAACUUGGCGUUGGUGGGUUAAACUCCAUCAGUGCCGCAGCAAACGCGAUAAGUUCACCGCCUGGGGACUACGGCCGCAAGGUUAAAACUCAAAGGAAUUGACGGGGGCCCGCACAAGCAGCGGAGCGUGUGGUUUAAUUCGAUGCUACACGAAGAACCUUACCCAGGCUUGACAUACAGGUGGUAGGGAUCCGAAAGGUGACCGACCCGCAAGGGAGCCUGAACAGGUGUUGCAUGGCUGUCGUCAGCUCGUGGUCGUGAGAUGUUCGGGUUAAGUCCGCU
This 1050-nucleotide ribosomal RNA is filed under the name uncultured Anaerolineaceae bacterium. Its description in RNAcentral is "bacterial SSU rRNA". It matches the Rfam family "Bacterial small subunit ribosomal RNA", at positions 38 to 1090 of the family's 1533-position model. Lineage: Bacteria; Bacillati; Chloroflexota; Anaerolineae; Anaerolineales; Anaerolineaceae. The record is from RNAcentral.